Antechinus flavipes (yellow-footed antechinus) is the source of this 4713-nucleotide long non-coding RNA. RefSeq lists it as uncharacterized. The transcript has 2 exons. Lineage: Eukaryota; Metazoa; Chordata; Mammalia; Dasyuromorphia; Dasyuridae. The record is from RefSeq and is a predicted model, not a curated record.
UACCUCAUUCUAUGUGUAUAGUAUAUAGUAGUAGAAAAUUUGUUCUGUGUAUAUAGUAAAUAUAACAGUAGUAUAUACCUUUUUCUCUCUCUAUAGCAUAUGUAGCAUACCCCUCAUUCCACCUUACUGAAGACAAAGGGGCCGCUUGUCCAUGUUUGCAUCCUCCCUGGUACCAAGCACACUGCGUGCCUUGUACAGAGUAGGGCUCUUAGGCAGGGAGAGCAGUGGUUUUGGUUGCUGGGGGAGAAGUAGGACAAAAGUGGCCAAUUUCACCAACUCCAUUCUGUCUUAUGUUGCUCCUGCAUUGAGUUGCUUGGCCAGGGGAAUUACGGGGUUUGAAAAGCGUAUCACUCACCCCAGAUCUUUAGCAGUUUUUCUAAGUGGAGUCUCUGGGAUAACUGAAGGCAGUCCAGGCUAACUACUUAGGGAUAUGAUUUGAGUUAAGGGAAUUUUGAACCACAACUUAAAUAAGAGCCUGGAAUGAGAGAGUCCGUAUAGCAAUGCCUACGGGCUCCUUUGGCUGACGGAUUUGAAUGACCAAAGGAGUACGAUCUGGGCUGGGGCUACGGGCUAAGGAACUGAAAGACCCCUCCUAAGGAAGAAGCUGCCAUUCAAAUACCAGUAGAUGGCAGCAGAGAGCAGCAGCAUCUCCAUGGAGACUGCACCCAGGGGCUCUGCUCCCAGGAGAGCAUCUCAGUGGACACGUCCAGCAGAGAGAAGAGCAAGUCGUGAGCACCGGGCAGUGGAGGACUCUUCGUGGCAGGAGAGUGCGAGUUGUAAUGUUUAUAGUCUUUGGCCGCAUGAGCCGUUCCACGUGUGUUCUCUCUGAGCUGGGUGUGAGUGUGUAGCUGAUUUCGGAAGCUCGGCCCGUGAUGUGGAAUGGUAGCCAAGUGCCAAAGGUCUGGGUGGUCCGGCCGGUUGAGGCCUUCAGUGGGCACUCAUAUGGGCAAUCCGGAGUGGAUGUGGCUCAGCUGGGAAAGAGGAGACAUUCCCAGAUGGUCUCAGUGCAGUGGGAUGAGGGGAGGGGGCUGGCUUGGGCAAAGAGGGGUGAUUUCCCAAAGGGGGGUGACCAGAGAAACUCGGAGACUUGGGGAGGAGUGCCAAGAGCUGGACCACCUCCUGGAGCUGGUCUGUGUCUUCUGCACAUAGGUCCCUUCUUCUGCAGCGGGGGUAGACCUUGUUCUCUUCUGAGGAUUUGGAAUCUAGAAUCUGCACCUUAGCUUUCUCCUUAGCUGUGGGGGUGGGAUGGGAAUGGGGGCAAGGAGUUACCAUCGUCCUCUCAUUGUGGGGGUAAGUUGACAUAAGGAAAAUGUGGACCUAAAGUAGGACAAGCCAUUAUUAAGUACCUACUGUGUGCCAGCCACACCGAGAUACAAAGACAAAACAAAAGUGUUUCCUGCCUUUAGGAACUUACACUUUAUUGGAAAGGCAGGAGGAGAUAAGAUGUCUCCAUACCAGAAUCAACACGAUACAUGCAAAACUAUGCGAUUAUUUCUGUAGGAUGAAGGGACUGGGAGGCUGUCCCUAGGAGAGAUCAGGCUUCCUGGGCUGAUCUUGAAGGAAACUAGGGUCUCCAGAAGGCAUGGCACUCCAGGGUACCCCAAAGAAGACAGGAUGCCAAAAGAGCCAUAAAUUCCAGCCAAACAAGGAACAGAGGAGCUGGAGAGGAGAAAUUCUGGGGGACCAGCUGCACCAGACGCCUCCUCCUAGCCCUGUGUCCAGGCCCCUGGGCUGGCUGCCCCACUUUGUAGGAAUAUGAGAAGAAAGAGAACAGAAGAGCCUCCAUCUGGAGCUGGAAGAGCUUUGGAAGUUUUCAAGUUCAAUCCAUUUCAUAGGUUUGGAAACUAAGUCCCAGAGAAGGGAAGGAGCUUCCCUAAGUCACACAGAUGGUGAAGAGUGGAGUCAUGUUGGGCCUGGAGCUCUGACUGCCAAGAGAUCAGAGGAGGCUGUGGGUAAACGUGGAUGGGAGCCAAGGGACGGCUCUGGAAGAGGUGCCCUUCUUCAGCAGGCUGGAAGAAAAUGCUUCCUCCUGCUUAGAAUGAGGAUGUUGGCUAGAAAGCCUCUAGGGCCCCUUUCAGCCCUGAAUCUAGGAUUCCAUCUAGGGCACAGGAGGAAACUGAGUCUCAGAGAGGGGAGGGGACAAGGGCUCGAUGGGAGCGGCUGGGAAGAAGUCAAGCCAGGAUUGGGACCUGGGUACCCCAGCUCCCCCACUCUGCCCCAGCUGCUGCUGCUCUCGGCACUGGAUCGAGUCUUCCUGGGGACUCCAUCUCAAGAGUGCAUGCUCCCUUUCCUGGCCUGAGCCGGCUCCAUUCUGAACCAAUUAGCCCAAGUGCAUCUCACUAUAUGCAUCCCCCAAGUGUCUGCAUUUUGGAAAAGCUGCAGAUUCAGUCCCAUUGUGAGUUUGGAAUUGUGUUUCCUUGGAAAAAUUCUGGCCCAAGAAAAUGAAAGUCAUCCUUGGGAAGGUUGCCAGCUAGCCCCAAGAGUCUACAUGAAGUUAAAAUGUUGAUUUUCCUAGAGAAAAAAAAAGUAAGUGAAUACUGAUUUUUGCUAGAACUGUCAAAACAAGGGCUGCAGCCUCCAGGCUCUCCUGCCCGGCCUGCCAAAGGGAAAUGGAUCUGCUCCAACAGAUUCCCGUAAAACAACUGCAGCCCAGCCCACCCCAGCCUGAGUUCUGGCACAGGGCAAGGAGCUGGGACCAGCUGGGGAGGGAGGUCCUGGCUCUGCUUCUCUGGAGCUAGGUGACCCUGGGCAGGUCAUAGUGUCUCCAGACCUCCGAUUUCUCAACUGUCAAAACUCCUAGGCUUUAAGAGGAGGUCCUUGGGAUGGGGUGCAGAUAGGAGUUUUCCUUCUGCUGGGGUCAGCAUCCCUCCAAUCCCCCACCCCAUCCUGUCAUCAUGCUCGUCCAAAUGGCCGUGUCCACUCAUGGACCCCCGGCAAGAGACAGAAGCUAUUAUGGGCACAGAACCCUCCCCUGGGACAGGAUCUUCAAACUGAGAACGACCCCUACAGCUCUUCUUCAUGCUUCAAUUUUGCCACAAGUCCGGGACCACCUGUGUCCUCAGGUCUGUCCAGGCUGAUUCAGUUCAGGUACCGAUCCCUGUUCUAGACACUGGAGAGGACAAAGACAACUGUUCUUCAUGGUGAUCUGGGUAGAGAUGCUUCUGAUCAAUGGAAGGGAGUGGUGGGGCAAAGAUCAGGUGCUUGAGGAUGAUUGAGGGACAGAAAACUAAGAAUAAGGGGCUUGCUUCCAAGAUACCUGAGCUGAGUCUGGAAGAAAGAUGUGAAAUCUAAGUGCUGGAGAGAAGGGGGAGCAGAUAUCAGGCCUGCAAGGCAUAGGGAUCUCACACAAACUCAGAACCUCUUUCCUGAGGGACCCAAGAAUCAACUGCCUUAUUUGAGAAAGUGUGAAGAGACAUCUAGAAAGGACUGGGUUUAAAAUUUAAAAAAUUUUUUUUUAAUUUUUUAAAAAAUUUAUUUUUUAAAAUUAUGGUAUAUGUGUAACCUAUAUCCGAUUGCUUGCUGUUUUGGGAAGGAGAUAAAAAAAUUAGAACUCAAAAUCUUACAAAAAUGAAUGUUGAAAAUGAUCUUUACAUGUCAUUGGAAAAAUGAAAUACUCUUGACAAAUAUUAUAAGCGACAGUUAUGACAUACAAAAAUGAUCUUUAUAGUUGAUUUUUUUAAUUAAAAAAAACUGAGUUUAACUCUAAUUUUUUGGAGAGGAAAUGACAGGCUGAAAAGGAUUUUUAUGAAACUUGGGCUGCCAUCUUGAGAGACCUGAAUAGUGGGACUCUCUUUACAGUGUCUAUGGAGAAGUCAGUCUGACUAUAAGCUUUCUCAUCAGUAAUGGAUUGUUGAAAUAUUUAAAUAUAUCUUUAUGAUGUUUGUCAUACUAUUAAUAAAUCAUAUCUCCAGUAGCAAUGUUUAGCUGAAUCUAUGAGAUCAAGAUUUAAUAUCAAGAAAGAGCUGAGUGAAAACUUAUGGGAAAAAGGUUUUUCUUUUAUAAAAUGGGGUGGGGCUCAGUCAAUUGGCUGAAUAAUGAGAAAAGUUGUAUCUUUCUAUUCAUUUGUGAAUCAUAAUAUAUCCCUCAACUGUCUUAGAAUCCAAGUGGAUAAUUAACCAGAUAGUGAGCCAGGAGCAGUUAGAGAGUGGAUAAUUCCACUACACAUGAGGACGGGCUGCUGUCCCCAAAACUUUCACUUAAAAAAGUCAUUUUUAUAGACAUUUCCCAGACAUAUUAUCUCAUGAAGCUCUCUUUUAAUAUUAAGAAAGUGACAGCCUCAGAGCAGUGACCUGUCAAAUAUCACUGAGAUAAUAAUGUCAAAACAAGAGUCUGAACUCAAUUGUUCUGGCCUUAAAUCCAGCAGACUAUUAACCACACACUGCUGCUGCUGCUUAAGAAUUUUUGUUCUACAUAGUAUUCGCACUCUUUCUCUUAUUGUUUGUUUUUUCUUCUCAAGUUUUACUUUUAUCUUUUUUCUAAAUUUGAUCUUUCUUGUGCAACAAGAUAACUUUAUAAAUAUGUAUACAUAUAUUGUAGCUAAGAUAUACUCUAACAUGUUUAACAUGUAUGGGACUGCCUGCCAUCUAGGGAAAGGAGUGGAGGGAAGGAGGGGAGAAGUCGGAACAGAAGUUUUUGCAAGGGUCAAUGUUGGAAAAAUUACCCAGGCAUAUGUUUUGUAUUUAAAAAGCUAUAAUAAAAAAAUCAAAAAAAGAA